CCCGACUCCUACUUUCGGCAGCAGUGUUUAAUAUUGCACACUGUGGGAAACCCUUCUUCAGCGACUCCUCUUGAGUGAAUCCUUCUUUCGGUAUUUCCCUCUCUAUCCUCCUUUAAGAAAAUUCCUUUACCUGAUUCCUCCUCCCCGGCUCCCUACGUGCCAGCCUCCUCGGUAAUACUUCUUUGGCAAGCUUUCUCCGGAUUUACUGGGUUUAAAGGGAGCGUAGACGGCAGCGCAAGUCUGAAGUGAAAUGCCGGGGAUUAACCCCGGAACUGCUUUGGAAACUGUGCAGCUAGAGUGCAGGAGAGGUAAGUGGAAUUCAUAGUGUAGCGGUGAAAUGCGUAGAGAGGAGGAGGAACAACAGUGGCGAAGGCGGAUUACUGGACUGUAACUGACGUUGAGGCUCGAAAGCGUGGGGAGCAAACAGGAUUAGAUACCCGAGUA
RNAcentral lists this ribosomal RNA (444 nucleotides) under uncultured bacterium. Its description in RNAcentral is "bacterial SSU rRNA". It matches the Rfam family "Bacterial small subunit ribosomal RNA", at positions 331 to 792 of the family's 1533-position model. The record is from RNAcentral.